CGAAGACACACAACAUAACGAGGUGUUAAUCUGUUAAAUCUUGUCGUGGAUGAGGUUCUGAAAAGGUGCUAAACCACCCGCUGCUGCUGUCAAGGGAACAGUUCUGCAGCACUUUUGCAAAAAAUGUUAGGGAGGGAGCAGCCGUGCAGAUUCUACCCUAAAAUCUAUUUCAUUUUAUUUAUUUUUGCUAAAAUCCCCAUCCCUUAUACCUGUCCCUGGCUUGCAGAGGUGCUGGAGGCAAAGGGGCUGAGCGCUGGUGGCUUCUGCUUCUUCUUCCCCCCUCCAAGGUUUUACCCUCACCUCCAAAGGUGGGAAAGGGAGAGGUACUGAUUAUUAAGUGGAAUUUUGGGGAUAAUUGCAUGGAAAAGGGCAUUAUGCUCCCCUCCCCAGCUUGGUGCCAAGGUGCAGAAACCUCUGUGCAAGAAGAUAAUUGCAAUACAAACAUGAUAAUAAAUGAGAUGAAAGCCCUGCCCUGACCCCGCUCUCCUGGAGAAGAAGGGGUUGCUAUUGCUUUUUUAAUGCUUUUGAUUUUGAUAUUUCUUUUUGCUAUAUAUAUAUUUUAAGUUUUAUGCUAAUUAAAUAAAAUGUCCUUCCCUUUGCACCUCUCAGAGGCUGCUUCGCUUUCGGAAACCGCUUUUUGUGGGCGGCCUCAGCAGGUUGGGGAGCAGAGGACAGCAGGCGAGGCUCAGACACCCAGCGCCGCUUCACCCAGCUUUACCUCCAGAAAAAAAAUAUAUAUAUAUAUAUAUAAAUAAUAAUAAUUUCUUUUUCUGCACCUGGCUCUGCUGCUCCCUGGGGACUGCUGGCGAUGGCGUUGACAACGGUUUACACCGACCUGGAGUUGCCACCGGGUCCCAGAGGCAUCCCACAGCUCCCAAAGCCUCCGGUCCCGUUGCAGGUCACCGGUGGUACUGGGUGAUAAUGGGAACCGGAUGGGUUGGGGCCGCCGUCCUGGCGGGCAUCGUGGUGUGGCUGCUGCAGCGACACGAUGGAAACAGCCUCAAUCCCACUGGCUCGUGCUCCUGGGAAUCCUGCCUGGGCAAGGACACCCCCAGCUCCAACUGCUCCCUGAACUGCUUCCAGCUGGGGCUCAGAGAGCGGCUGUGCGAGGCCGAGAGCCACCAGGCACCAGGUGCCGAGGGCUGCUGGCUCUGCCCUGCGGGCUGGCAGCCCUUUGCCACCAAAUGCUACUGGGUUUCUGCAAAAACCCUGUCCUGGGAAGAGGCAGGAGGUGACUGCAAGGACAGGAGGGCGGAAUUGGUGAUGCUGAAGAGCGUGGAGGAGAAGGUAAAGGACCAAAGAGAAAGCAUCACGACCCCAAUCAGAUUUUUUUGCAGCUGAUGCUGCCUGCCCAAGUUGCAGAGACAAUCGGAUGUCAGGGAAAAAUAAAUAAUAAUAAAGAGGGGGGAAUAAUAAUGAUAAAAUAAUACAAUAAUAAUAGAAGGGGGAGAAAAGAGGGAUGGAGGGGG
Molecule: non-coding RNA, 1469 nt
Organism: Anas platyrhynchos (mallard)
Lineage: Eukaryota; Metazoa; Chordata; Aves; Anseriformes; Anatidae
Source: RefSeq, a predicted model, not a curated record